ACAGUUGGAGUCGCUACGUAAUGCACAGAGAGUUCGUUCAUUCUGCCCCAUGAAAACCUGUUGCAAUGUUUUUUUUUUUUGGAAUCCAGAUGAGAUUGCGAUGGAAAAGAAAAUAAUAAUUAGCGGCACCCAGUAAAUCUGAGAUUAUAGGCCGCAGCGGGGAUGUAGGGCAAAACAGGCUUGCUGACAUCCACAUAAUAAGUAAAAAUAAUUCGAUUUUGAAAGGUUCGUGUAGACGAAUGAUUCGCUUUGUCAUCAUCGGAUAGAGCCAACUCACAGCCGGAUAGAAAUAGAAAAACAAAAAACAAGGACAGUUGAACAAAAGCAGCAGACAGAAGAAAGAAGAAAAAAAGGCAAAAUAAAACAGUCAUCAAUUUAAGAAAAGUUUUUGUUUUUAUUUGUUUUAAAUACCAGGACGGCUCUCUCUCUCUCUCUCUCUCUUUACAAGAGCCAAGAAGUUUUUUUUUUUUCUUUUUGCUUUUUGUGGUAUUUAAUACCCACAGUUUCCACAUAAACAACAAAUAAUCUGUCAGACAGUUGGGUCUACGUCCGGCAUGUCUUUUUAUUUUGUUUUU
Daphnia magna is the source of this 575-nucleotide long non-coding RNA. RefSeq lists it as uncharacterized. Lineage: Eukaryota; Metazoa; Arthropoda; Branchiopoda; Diplostraca; Daphniidae. The transcript is spliced from 3 exons. The record is from RefSeq and is a predicted model, not a curated record.